Mauremys mutica (yellowpond turtle) is the source of this 3894-nucleotide RNA transcript. It is a transcript of the gene named small integral membrane protein 1 (Vel blood group), with no coding region annotated. The transcript has 5 exons. Lineage: Eukaryota; Metazoa; Chordata; Testudines; Geoemydidae. The record is from RefSeq and is a predicted model, not a curated record.
UUGGGGAUGCUGACACCUGCCCAGUCAGUACUGAACUGAGGCUACUGCCUCAUUUCAGACAGGGCACCAGACAGCCUUCAGUUGGAAACAACAGACCAGAGCUGCAUUGCAGCAAGCAAUCUGGCCAUGUGAAAGGCUCUGUAUCCCAUCAGCAACCUUCCCCUGAGCUGUCCAGUUCCCUAAUCUGCACAUUAAAGACAGAAGUAGAAGUGAAGGAUUUUGCUUCAGAUUGAUAAUGCUGACUAGAUCUCUGGUGCACUGUACCUAUUCUGAUCUCACAACACCGAUGUAAAGCUGGAGUAACUGCAUCACAUCGAUGGAGGACAGAAUGAGAAGCUCUGAUUCUAGCCCAGGAGGAGUAAGGGCUGUGAGAGUCAGGGCUGCGGGCAGGAUUUACGGGAUUACAGAAUAUUCAAGAGUCUCCCCUGCUAACUGUCCAGCUUCCCCCAGGGCCAUGCACUCCUUUCACUGGAAUCUCAAUGCUGUCAUGGCACUGAGGUCAGAAUGCGGAAAUAAAGGAAGGACCAGGUCCAGUGGUCAAUGUUUCUGGUAGUAACCCUUAUACUCCUGCCUCAAAUCAAGUCUUUGGCAUGCAUUCUCCAUUGCAUGCACCUCAUUUGCCUUUAGACGGAGUGAGGUUAAAGAAUCUGCAUGUGGGAACUGUGGAAGUUUUGCCCCAGCAAUUUCGCUGGGGAGGUCAGAAUGUAUGGAGUCAGCCAGCUGUAGCUGGCACCUGUGUUUUUGGCUGAAAGGGACUGAACUGAUGGACCCCGCCUCCUUCUCCGCUCCUCCUCUAAACUUGGUUUAACACAACAGCACACACAGCUGUUAAAAGCUCACAAUCAACCCAGAAAGGAAAGAGCUAAAGGCAAAGGUUAUUUUUCACCAAGAAACAGCUCGGAGCGGAGUCAGAGAGGGACUUUGAUCCUCAGGGGUAGAAGUGCUGAAGCCCAGCUCUGCGCAAACAUUAGGAGGAGAGGAGGAGUAUAAAAUCCAAGCCCAUUCCAGUGUCUUUUUCCUUCAACCUUUUCCUUGGAAGGAUGCAGCCUCAAGACACAGGUGUUCAGUACAGCAGGUGGAACAACAGUAGUCGUGAUGAAGUCAGUGUGAACACAUCCACUGCCGAGGUGUCAGGAUGUAAAAGAAUCUACACGAAGCUGUGCACUGGGAAAAUCGGCAUUGCGGUUAAAGUGAUUGGAGGAAACAUCGUCUUUUGGACAGUUUUUGUCAUUGGCUACGUGACAGGUUACUAUGUGCACAAGUGCAAGUAGAAAUAACAGUGAAAUUCACCGGCAGGACCCAGGCCUGGAUUUCUCUGAUGAGAAGACAGGGUUCCCUCAGGUACAUGCUGCCUUUCCUCUCUUCUUCCCUCAUUCCUCACUGGACCACAGCCCAUGCAAUGGAGCCUUUCGCCAGGAUGCUUUUAAGAGCAAAGAUGCUGAGACAACCCAGAUCUGUGCUGUGGAAGGUCACACAAGGGAGAGGAAAAGCAUUUGAGCCACCCUGUGAGCAGUAUGUUUGCAGCAGUAUCUAUUGCUCUGGAUGGACUGGCCCAGAAUGCAUCUGUGGGAGAGAGAGGCCAGCACCAGAAAAGCCACAUUCGAUAGCACAAACUGCAAACUAAAGCAGCACAGAGUUUUUUAUUUACCAAGGGGUCUGGGUUUUUUUUUAAGUCACUGGUAAAGAAUGAAAGCUGGUCAGCAGCCUGGGGGGCAGAUCAGGGCAGGAGCUCGGGAGACUUCAGGGUAACAAAAGGCUGAAGCAAGGGAGGAUUUUGGGUUUGAUAUUCAUUGUACUAAUUUCUCAACUUCUCCUGCUGCUACUACCCACAAUUCAUGUAUUGCCCUGAAAUAGCUUCUGCGUCUGCUCACUAGUGUCACUGAUCCCUAGGCCACUCGUACGUAGGGCUCAGAAUCCUGAUGAUUGUGGGGCUCUCCGGGAGUUGUGGAGGGUAACAGCUGUUUAAUAGGCAUAUUAAGUUCUCGGAGUGCUUUUCAGCCGUGGAUCUCCAAGCAGCUCAUUCACAGGACUGCUUAUCAGAGGAGAGUGAUUCAUCCCAGCUGGACUGUCUGGCAAUCACUUCAGUGAGGGUAAACACCUGUGGGGUAGGUCUAACUUGGCAGAGUUGCCUCUUCUCCUGUUUACAAUGGUAUUGCUUAACUUUUCAUGAGAGGAGAGAUCUUGGCUGUUAAAAUAACUUUUCACCAGCUAUCUCAUGAGCAAAAUACAUUCCUGACCUAAUCACCUGACCAGAAUGAAAGAAGCAAGCACAAUUAAACCUGUCAGCCAGCAGAAAGCAACAGAGCAGAAAGAAUAUACAAAAGCUGACAUUUCUCCUCUGGCAAUAGCCUUUACUAACCUGACUUAAUGCUGGUUUCCUUGUUUGUCCUCAAAUGUGGUGGUGCUGCUAGAUGGGAGCUGUCUCUUUCCAAACACAGUCUGACACCGUUACUGGGGGCCUGAAUCGGUGCUUGUCCAAAGAGCUAUCCUGAAGGGGCAGGAGCCUAGUGUCCUCUGAGCACAGGCAGCAGCAGUGCCAACUUCCCCACGCUGUGCAUCUGACACACAUCAGUCAGGGGUACUUCUGGGUCUGAGCAGAGUUCAGCCUCCACCUCAAUUCUGUGCUCCCUCCAACAGACCACAAACAAGGAUGCUCACUGGUGCUGGAUGCAAUGGUAGUUUUGUGAUGUGAUCACCUGUCCCUCCUGGAACUGGGCUCAGACCCACCCAAUUGAUUUCACACACAGGCUACCAUGUGGUGGUAACUUUGGUUGCUGUUGACCUGGCUGAGAUUUGAACCAAGCAAUCUAGAGAAAAAAGUUCUCAGUAGAGGAGUGAUCGCAUUUUAAAACAUUGUAUGAGAGCACACCAAAUCUUUGGUGUUGGAGAUCGUUAGGAGAUUGAUGUGUGGUAAAUUGAGCCAGUUUCUUAUCUUACACCUACAUAAAUCCAGAGUAAUUCCACUCCAGUAUCUAGCUAAGGUAUUUAUGUGUUGACCCCUGUUGUAUCUCAUGCCUGACAGUAAUGAUGUGUGGAAGGAAUUAUGAAAUACAGUUAUCACUUAGCACACACUGGUCUCACUGAUGUAACUUGUGCCAGUGUCUGACACAUUGCUAGAGGCUGAAGCAGUGUUGCAGAGGAGGGAAUAUCACAGGCCAAGGUUCUGAUGCAACCUUAACACUUACCUCUUGGUACAGCAUUUGUGGAUGUAUCUUGAUAACUGGUUUAUUGCAUAUUUAGUCCUUUCCCCAAAUAUUAAAGUAGCACAUUCCCAAGGAACAAGAUGUACUGCUCAGGCGCUUUAUUGCUUAAAAGUCUAAUGAGUCAGCAGUUUGGCCAAAGUGGACUCUGAUACCCUCAUCCCACUUCCCCCACAGCUUCUGAAUACUAAGGCUUGUAGUUCUUGUUUGUUUUAGGACACUUGUCAACCUGUUUCCCUGGUCCAGAAACUUGCUGUAACCUUUUAGGAAACACGUCUCCUACAUUUCAAACAUCGAUUUAAACAGAAAGAAAAAAUCCCAUGUGUGCCAGUGAGUGUGUUGCUAAUAACGAUGGCUGCUGUUGUGUGACAGGCCCAUUUUUGGUAAUGCCACACGGUCCUGCUUAAAGAUCAUCUUCAACCUUGAUUUCCACUUACAGCAAGACAUUUCUAUCUAGAUGCAUAUUUCUAGUGCACCAAUCACUAUGGUAUGUUGGUCCCAUUUCCUGAGCCCACUAUGCUAUUGUGUUAUGUGUUUCAUUGUGGAUACACUGGGCCAUCUGGUACAGAUCAGAGUAACUUUACUGACCUGAACAAAGCAAUGCUGAUUUCCCCCACACAAAGAUCAUUUCUUAUCCUUCCCAAAUCCUCCAGGUAGAGCUGAGAUGAAUUAUUUGUAAUAAAAUAACUGAUAA